GACGAACGCUGGCGGCGUGCCUAAUACAUGCAAGUCGAACGAUGAAGCUUGGUGUUUGUCCCAUUUUGAAGUGCCGAGCACGGGUGUGUCACGUGUGUGACCUCUCCCUUAGAGCGGGGUAACUCAUUUGGACACGAAUGAUUAUACCGUAUAACAACUUUCUACAUAAGUUUUAAGUUUGAAAGACGCAAUUGCAUCACUCAAAGAUGAUCCCGCGUUGUAUUAGCUUGUUGGUGAGGUAAAGGCUCACCAAGGCGAGGAUACAUAGCCGACCUGAGAGGGUGAUCGGCCACACUGGGACUGAGACACGGCCCAAACUCCUUCGGGAGGCAGCAGUAGGGAAUCUUCGGCAAUGGACGGAAGUCUGACCGAGCAACGCCGCGUGAGUGAAGAAGGUUUUCGGAUCGUAAAUCUCUGUUGUUAGAGAAGAACGUUGGUGAGAGUGGAAAGCUCAGAAAGUGACGGUAACUACUCAGAAAGGGACGGCUAACUACGUG
This 497-nucleotide ribosomal RNA is filed under the name uncultured bacterium. RNAcentral's name for it is "partial 16S ribosomal RNA". It matches the Rfam family "Bacterial small subunit ribosomal RNA", at positions 28 to 507 of the family's 1533-position model. The record is from RNAcentral.